Molecule: ribosomal RNA, 429 nt
Filed under: Fusobacteriota bacterium
Lineage: Bacteria; Fusobacteriati; Fusobacteriota
Description: Fusobacteria bacterium partial 16S ribosomal RNA
Rfam family: Bacterial small subunit ribosomal RNA
Source: RNAcentral
UGGGGAAUAUUGCACAAUGGGCGCAAGCCUGAUGCAGCCAUGCCGCGUGUAUGAAGAAGGCCUUCGGGUUGUAAAGUACUUUCAGCGGGGAGGAAGGGAGUAAAGUUAAUACCUUUGCUCAUUGACGUUACCCGCAGAAGAAGCACCGGCUAACUCCGUGCCAGCAGCCGCGGUAAUACGGAGGGUGCAAGCGUUAAUCGGAAUUACUGGGCGUAAAGCGCACGCAGGCGGUUUGUUAAGUCAGAUGUGAAAUCCCCGGGCUCAACCUGGGAACUGCAUCUGAUACUGGCAAGCUUGAGUCUCGUAGAGGGGGGUAGAAGUCCAGGUGUAGCGGUGAAAUGCGUAAAGAUCUGGAGGAAUACCGGUGGCGAAGGCGGCCCCCUGGACGAAGACUGACGCUCAGGUGCGAAAGCGUGGGGAGCAAACAGG